GCUCCCGUAGCUCAGUGGAUAGAGCGUCGGUCUCCGGAACCGAGUGCGUAGGUUCGAUUCCUACCGGGAGCA
Molecule: transfer RNA, 72 nt
Filed under: bacterium
Lineage: Bacteria
Also listed under: 1 other name
Description: tRNA-Arg
Rfam family: tRNA
About the family: Transfer RNA (tRNA) molecules are approximately 80 nucleotides in length. Their secondary structure includes four short double-helical elements and three loops (D, anti-codon, and T loops).
Source: RNAcentral